GAUUUCUGACUGACCGUCCUGGCCCGCUUCUUUUACGGGAGUGAGUGCCGGUACGAGUUUGUCAUCCUUCUAGAAAGCCGCGCCUACCGUUCAUUCGUGCGGGCGUGUGCGGUCUAGAUCUUUUACUUUGAAAAAAUUAGAGUGUUUAAAGCAGGCUUUUUGCUAUGAAUACAUUAGCAUGGAAUAAUAAUUUAGGACUUUGGCCCUAUUUUGUUGGUUUCUAGGACUGAAGUAAUGAUUGAUAGGGAUAGUUGGGGGUGCUCGAAUUCAGCGGCCAGAGGUGAAAUUCUUGGAUUCGCUGAAGACGAACUCAUGCGAAAGCAUU
This 325-nucleotide ribosomal RNA is filed under the name Kraken sp. Its description in RNAcentral is "SSU rRNA". The stretch from base 113 to 325 matches the Rfam family "Eukaryotic small subunit ribosomal RNA", at positions 742 to 955 of the family's 1831-position model. The record is from RNAcentral. Lineage: Eukaryota; Cercozoa.